CUUCAUUCCAAUUUCAAAAUUCCUGAUUUGUACCGCCGUCAGCUUUCGGCAUUGCCGCCACCGUCUCCUUCCUUCUUCGCCGCCGAAAUAUUCGAAAAAUGGAUUUCAUGGCAGAAUGGAAAUCCAUGUGGCCUGUAGCCUCCACCUUCGCUGCGCCAUUACUCCUCCCAAAUAAUGAUCCCUCAGCACCAUUUGGCCCACUUACGUUCACCCCAAGCCCUACCUUCUCAACCACUAUCCUUCAAUCUCCCUCCCUCUCACCAUGCCUUCCCCCACAAUAUCCACAAUUAAACCUUCACAGGUUCCUCCAACAUCAUUGUGGUAUUCCUACCUCCGACAAUUCUGUUCCCUUUUUUUUGGGAUCCCAGGAGGCCGAUUCCUUUUCAGAGUAUCAUGCCCCCAACUCUCUUCAAUUGCUUCAGAUUCCUCACAAAAACCUAGUUAUUGCAUUUUUCCCUGCAGGGGAGAAUUAUGACCGUGUGGGCUUCUCUUUACUUUCCUUGAAAGGCGGUAUUUUGGAGGUUCAGUCGCAAAGGGAUCGUUUCCUCCAUUUAGUUGAACAAGGUAAUGUUCAUCGUCAGCGAAUCACAUGCUUGUUGGUGAACCCAGUUGAUGAUUUUGGGUGCAAUGAUGAUGUAGUUGGGCAUUUGAUGCUUUGUACAAAGUAUUCUGUUUGUUGGUAUAGGGUCAGAAUCACCAAUAUGGAUAAACACAAUGAAAAUAAUGUUUUUGUUGAUUAUCUGGGUCCUGCCAAUGCCAAGAUGUUAAUGGGAAAGUCAGUUGAAUGUGCUUGUUGGAGUCCACAUAUGAGUGAAGAGUGCUUAGUUUUGUUGGAGAGUGGUGAUUUAUUACUGUUUGAUGUUAAUAACUCUUCUGCAAGAAAGACCAAUUCAAUGUCUUCUGUUAAUAAAAAGGUGCAAGUUUCGUUGAGUGGUAAGUUGGGAUUGAAGGAGGAAAGUCUACCUGGGGGUCAGCAAUGGUUUGGAUGUGAAUUUAGUUGGCAUCCAAGAAUCUUCAUUGUUUGUCAUCGAAAUGAGAUACUCUUGGUUGAUGUAAGGUCUUCUGUUGAAUGCCAUGCCUCUUGUUUACUGAAGCUUCAAAUCUUGAAGAUGAGCAUAAAUGAUGGAUUUUUCUCACUCUCGAGGGCAGGGUCUGAUAGUUUCUUCUACAUUGUGGCAACUGGAUCCAUGCUUCUCCUUUGUGAUGUGCGGAAACCAUUAAUACCAGUCUUGAGGUGGACUCAUACUAUAAAAAAUCCGCGAUAUAUGACUGUCUUUAGAUUGUCAGAGUUGAGAGCAAAUGCACAAGAUGCAAAGUACAAGUUGGCUUCUGAAUCAGGCUAUUGUGUUAUUUUGGGAUCGUUUUGGGACAAUGAUUUCAGUCUUUUUUGUUAUGGUCCUGAUGUUAAUGGAAAUGGACCUGUCAAUUCUGCAAUCUCUAAAUUUUGCAACCUACAUUAUUCAUGGGGAUUCCCCUCGGAGCUUUUGAUGUCCAGGUCCGAUUGUGCAUGUGGUAGUUGUUUUGUAAGAGAGGAGUCGUGGAAAUCCUCCCUCCCAGUUUGGAUUGACUGGAGGGAUAAGAAGGGGUUGAUUUUGGGAUUUGGCGUUCUCAAACCACAGCUUUCUGUACAGCCUUCUUCCUUUGGCAGUUUUGGUGGGUUUACACUGAUCAGGCAUACCUCAUCAGGGAAGCUAGAAGCACAGAACUACCUCGCAGCAUGGAGAUCCGAUAAGGUUUUGGAAGCAGGUCACAAAAGGAAGAGGAUUCAGUUGGAGGAUAUUCAAUUAUAUGAUCACAGCUAUGCAGAAUCUGAGGGGGGUAAGGUUUUUUUCCUAAAACUGGAUUUCCUUGAUGCAUAUCUGGAGGAUAAACUAGCAAAUUUCAUUUCGGCAAGAAGAGAGAAGAUGAAAGAGAGUGAUAGAACUGCCCAGAAAGAUUAUCUUGGUAAUUCCAAGAUUGUUUUCCAUCAAGAAAAAUGUCAUAGGUUGAACGACUUUGGACUUACAAGAAUAAAAUCCUCUCUUACGACUUCUGCUGUGUUGAACGCUAUCAAAUGGCCGAUUAGCAUACAUGAGGUUGCUUCAGGGUGCACCUAUGGAGCUUUGCCCUCAAACUUAUUGCAAUUGGCUUUCACCACCUACUCAGAUUUUAGUAAGUAUCUUGCGAGCCAAUAUGUGCCUCUGGAGUUCCUGGAAAUUCCUAACCAGCCCGAAGCCCAGCCGUUUACUUUUAGAAAUCCAUCACGCCGCAGCAAUCUUUGGACUACCAAAGUCCGGCCAUCUGAUUCCCUUGUAGGUCCAGUUGUUCCUGCUUAUUUUCUAAAAGCUCUUAAUGACCUUUGUGAGGAUGACCUUAAAGAGGAAAGCCAGUUGAACGGUGAAGAGCCAGAAGCUUUUUCAUCUCAUUCUCAAUUCAAAAAUUUAUGUGAUAAGGUUAUGGAGGUUGCUCAGGAACACAUUUCAUGCUCAGAUGUCAGACCUCAGUAUGAUCCUGUUUCUCUUGCAGAUGAUACUGAAGAUAUGAGCAAUCAUAUCCAGAAAUUAAAAUUAUCUUGUCAUAAUCCAUCUUCAUUCGUGCAAAGUCCGUCAAGAAUGGAUAUUUUAAAACCUGAAUGUGAGAAUAACAUAUUUUCAACUCAUUUCUUUAGGAGAAGCCAAAACCUUGCUUGUGAUCUUAGUAAGGAGAUGGUAGGGAAAGAAAUAUUUGAUGUAGGUUGCCCAAUAGAAUUGGAUUUCGAUGAUUACACUGAUGUUUUUGGGCCAACGGAAUUGGAAAUGUUUCGAACUUUAAAGAAACAAGACUUAGAAUUUCAAAGAAGUUUUAAGCCGUAUCAAGAUUAUAUUGUUGGACGGGAUGAGUUGAAAUGAGGAUAAUAUGAUGUGAAAAUUCCUUUGGUUGAGAAAAUUCCUAAUUGGACCAUGUUGAAACAAGUAAAGUAGCUUCAUUCCACACCAAUUUUCAAGAUGGGGGAGAAGGCAGAAGCUCUUGAUGCUGUGCUGAAGGAAACUUUUGAUUUAGAGAACAUACCCAUUGAGGAAGUGUUUGAGAAUCUAAGAUGCACCAAAGCAGGGCUCACAACCAAGGUGGCUGAGG
Molecule: non-coding RNA, 3093 nt
Organism: Salvia hispanica
Lineage: Eukaryota; Viridiplantae; Streptophyta; Magnoliopsida; Lamiales; Lamiaceae
Source: RefSeq, a predicted model, not a curated record